AGCGACGUUGGAGCCAACAAUUAAUUUUCGGACACGACACAGGUCCAAUGUGCCUCAAAAUUUAUAUGUUUUAUUUUUCCUGCAUUUUAGUUGGAAUUCCUAUAGAACAAAAGGCAAAACUAAUUGACCACCUAUGAGUACCAAAAAGGCUCUAUAGGAUCAAUUUUUCUCUCAAUCUCUUGAGUUUUCAUUUUCAAGCCACACCUAAAUCCACUAUUAAAGAACACGAG
Molecule: long non-coding RNA, 230 nt
Filed under: Elaeis guineensis (African oil palm)
Lineage: Eukaryota; Viridiplantae; Streptophyta; Magnoliopsida; Arecales; Arecaceae
Description: long non-coding RNA (EGUI_LNC021138)
Source: RNAcentral